This 251-nucleotide ribosomal RNA is filed under the name uncultured prokaryote. RNAcentral's name for it is "partial 16S rRNA". It matches the Rfam family "Bacterial small subunit ribosomal RNA", at positions 525 to 775 of the family's 1533-position model. The record is from RNAcentral.
ACGUAGGGGGCGAGCGUUGUCCGGAAUCACUGGGCGUAAAGCGCACGCAGGCGGGCUGGCACGUCGGCCGUGAAAGACUCGGGCUCAACCUGAGCAAGUCGUUUGAUACUGGCGGUCUUGAGUAUGGGAGAGGGUGAUAGAAUUCCCGGUGUAGCGGUGAAAUGCGUAGAUAUCAGGAGGAACACCAGUGGCGAAGGCGGUUAUCUGGCUCGUAACUGACGCUGAGGUGCGAAAGUGUGGGGAGCGAACGG